UAGGGAAUCUUCGGCAAUGGACGAAAGUCUGACCGAGCAACGCCGCGUGAGUGAAGAAGGUUUUCGGAUCGUAAAACUCUGUUGUUAGAGAAGAACAAGGACGUUAGUAACUGAACGUCCCCUGACGGUAUCUAACCAGAAAGCCACGGCUAACUACGUGCCAGCAGCCGCGGUAAUACGUAGGUGGCAAGCGUUGUCCGGAUUUAUUGGGCGUAAAGCGAGCGCAGGCGGUUUCUUAAGUCUGAUGUGAAAGCCCCCGGCUCAACCGGGGAGGGUCAUUGGAAACUGGGAGACUUGAGUGCAGAAGAGGAGAGUGGAAUUCCAUGUGUAGCGGUGAAAUGCGUAGAUAUAUGGAGGAACACCAGUGGCGAAGGCGGCUCUCUGGUCUGUAACUGACGCUGAGGCUCGAAAGCGUGGGGAGCAGACAGG
RNAcentral lists this ribosomal RNA (429 nucleotides) under Gemmatimonadota bacterium. RNAcentral describes it as "Gemmatimonadetes bacterium partial 16S ribosomal RNA". It matches the Rfam family "Bacterial small subunit ribosomal RNA", at positions 355 to 776 of the family's 1533-position model. The record is from RNAcentral. Lineage: Bacteria; Pseudomonadati; Gemmatimonadota.